This 86-nucleotide transfer RNA is filed under the name Candidatus Dormiibacterota bacterium. RNAcentral describes it as "tRNA-Leu". It matches the Rfam family "tRNA". From Rfam's summary of the family: Transfer RNA (tRNA) molecules are approximately 80 nucleotides in length. Their secondary structure includes four short double-helical elements and three loops (D, anti-codon, and T loops). RNAcentral also lists the same sequence under 4 other names. Lineage: Bacteria; Bacillati; Candidatus Dormiibacterota. The record is from RNAcentral.
GCCGGGAUGGUGAAAUGGUAGACACGCAGCGUUCAGGGCGCUGUGCAGGUCACUGCGUGCGGGUUCGAGUCCCGCUCCCGGCACCA